GUGAACGCUGGCGGUAGGCUUAACACAUGCAAGUCGAACGGCAGCACAGUAAGAGCUUGCUCUUACGGGUGGCGAGUGGCGGACGGGUGAGGAAUACAUCGGAAUCUACUUUUUCGUGGGGGAUAACGUAGGGAAACUUACGCUAAUACCGCAUACGACCUACGGGUGAAAGCAGGGGAUCUUCGGACCUUGCGCGAUUGAAUGAGCCGAUGUCGGAUUAGCUAGUUGGCGGGGUAAAGGCCCACCAAGGCGACGAUCCGUAGCUGGUCUGAGAGGAUGAACAGCCACACUGGAACUGAGACACGGUCCAGACUCCUACGGGAGGCAGCAGUGGGGAAUAUUGGACAAUGGGCGCAAGCCUGAUCCAGCCAUACCGCGUGGGUGAAGAAGGCCUUCGGGUUGUAAAGCCCUUUUGUUGGGAAAGAAAAGCAGCGGGUUAAUACCCCGCUGUUCUGACGGUACCCAAAGAAUAAGCACCGGCUAACUUCGUG
RNAcentral lists this ribosomal RNA (491 nucleotides) under uncultured bacterium. RNAcentral's name for it is "partial 16S ribosomal RNA". It matches the Rfam family "Bacterial small subunit ribosomal RNA", at positions 29 to 507 of the family's 1533-position model. The record is from RNAcentral.